Molecule: transfer RNA, 78 nt
Filed under: Methanopyri archaeon
Lineage: Archaea; Methanobacteriati; Methanobacteriota; Methanopyri
Also listed under: 1 other name
Description: tRNA-Glu
Rfam family: tRNA
About the family: Transfer RNA (tRNA) molecules are approximately 80 nucleotides in length. Their secondary structure includes four short double-helical elements and three loops (D, anti-codon, and T loops). Further hydrogen bonds mediate the characteristic L-shaped molecular structure. tRNAs have two regions of fundamental functional importance: the anti-codon, which is responsible for specific mRNA codon recognition, and the 3' end, to which the tRNAs corresponding amino acid is attached (by aminoacyl-tRNA synthetases). tRNAs cope with the degeneracy of the genetic code in two manners: having more than one tRNA (with a specific anti-codon) for a particular amino acid; and 'wobble' base-pairing, i.e. permitting non-standard base-pairing at the 3rd anti-codon position.
Source: RNAcentral
GCUCCGGUAGUGUAGUCCGGCCAAUCAUGUUGGCCUCUCGAGCCAUUGACCCGGGUUCAAAUCCCGGCCGGAGCACCA